GGAGCUGUAGUUCAGUGGCAGAGCAUCUGCUUUGCAUGCAGAAGGUCCCAGGUUCAAUCCCUGGCAUCUCCA
Heteronotia binoei (common prickly gecko) is the source of this 72-nucleotide non-coding RNA. Lineage: Eukaryota; Metazoa; Chordata; Lepidosauria; Squamata; Gekkonidae. The record is from the annotation of a RefSeq genome assembly.